GUGGCCCAAGUGUUCUCGCGCCGUGGUAGUUUUUCAAAGUUCUAGCUAGUUAGUCGUGUGUGCAAAGGUUACGAACGGUGUGUUAUCGUGUGUGCUGGUAGCUCAAAGCAGAUUCGUGACCACAUCGCCACGACGCCCGAGACACCACAACGAACCGUCGAGGCCAUUCUUGACCCCACCAUCAGGCUGCGAGGUUUUCCCGGGGCACGCCGGAAGAGGGACGCGAUCGCCAAUCAACGCGCCCUAGGCAGGGCAUCACCGAAGAAGAAGAGAGAAGAAGAAGAGAAGGCAACCGUUUUUCCCUCCGUUGGUGACGACCGACGGACAUCGACGCACGUGCCGCGUCGCGCCUUAGAUGAGACCGUAAGUUUCGAUCCGGAGCAAAGCCAUCCGUAGGCGACAACCGCAGUCGCAGCAUCAUCAGCUAGCCCAGCUAGCCCAACCGUCAACCCGCCAACGAACAGCGAUUCGAUACCAGCCGUAGUAGCAUCGGCAUCUAGGCAAGCCGCCGACCCGCCGGCGAUCAGCGUGUAGUUGUACCGCCAUCGUCCGCAAGUGAUCACAUGGACGCCGCGUAAGUCGUCCAUUCAAAGUGAGUAC
Armigeres subalbatus is the source of this 600-nucleotide long non-coding RNA. RefSeq lists it as uncharacterized. Lineage: Eukaryota; Metazoa; Arthropoda; Insecta; Diptera; Culicidae. The record is from RefSeq and is a predicted model, not a curated record. The transcript has 3 exons.